ACUAACCCUAGCCCAAACAUAACGCAAAUAAACUAUUAACUUAAAAUAAAUUAAAACAUUUAAUUACUUCCAUAAGAGUAUAGGAGAUAGAAAUUAUUUAAAGGCGCUAUAGAGACAGUACCGUAAGGGAAAGAUGAAAGAGUAAUUAAAAGUACAAUAAAGCAAAGAUUAACCCUUAUACCUUUUGCAUAAUGGAUUAACUAGAAAAACUAUAACAAAAAGAAUUUAAGCUAUAGACCCCGAAACCAAACGAGCUACCUAAAAACAAUUUUAUGAAUGCACCCGUCUAUGUAGCAAAAUAGUGGGACGAUUUUUAGGUAGAGGUGAAAAGCCUAACGAGCUUGGUGAUAGCUGGUUACCCAAAAAAUGAAUAUUAGUUCCCCCCAAAUUUUACCAUAAGAACACAAAAUCUAAAUGUAAAAUUGAAGGUUAAUCUAAAGAGGGACAGCUCUUUAGAUAAAGAAUUCAACCUUAUUUAGAGAAUAAGCAAAAUAAUAUUACCCAUAGUUGACCUAAAAGCAGCCAUCAAUUAAGAAAGCGUUCAAGCUCAAACCUUAACAAAAUAUUAAUACCUUAAAUUACUAUAAAUUCCUAAACUACUAUUGGGUCAAUCUAUAAACCUAUAGAUGAGAUAAUGUUAGUAUGAGUAACAAGAAAUUUUCUCCUACGCACAAGCUUAUAACAAACCGAAUACCCGCUGUUAAUUAACAAAUCACUAGAAAUAACCCAAAUAUAAAACUACUAGAUAAAACAAUUGUUAACCCAACACAGGAGUGCAUAAAGGAAAGAUUAAAAAAAGUAAAAGGAACUCGGCAAACACAAACCCCGCCUGUUUACCAAAAACAUCACCUCUAGCAUCACUAGUAUUAGAGGCACUGCCUGCCCAGUGACAUGAAUUUAACGGCCGCGGUAUCCUGACCGUGCAAAGGUAGCAUAAUCACUUGUUCCCUAAUUAGGGACUUGUAUGAAAGGCAAGACGAGGGCUUAACUGUCUCUUACUUUCAAUCAGUGAAAUUGACCUACCCGUGAAGAGGCGGGUAUAAAUAAAUAAGACGAGAAGACCCUAUGGAGCUUCAAUUAAAUCUCUUACUUAGUAAUUAUAAAAACCUAAUGGAAUAAUAACAUACAAAGCCUAAGAGAAAAAUUUCGGUUGGGGUGACCUCGGAGAACAAAAAAACCUCCGAAUGACCUAGCUUCAGGCCUACCAGCCAAGAGGUACCUAAGUAGUCAACUAAUUGAUCCAAUAACAAUUGAUCAACGGACCAAGUUACCCUAGGGAUAACAGCGCAAUCCUAUUCAAGAGUUCUUAUCGACAAUAGGGUUUACGACCUCGAUGUUGGAUCAGGACAUCCAAAUGGUGUAGCCGCUAUUAAUGGUUCGUUUGUUCAACGAUUAAAGUCCUACGUGAUCUGAGUUCAGACCGGAGUAAUCCAGGUCGGUUUCUAUCUAUUAACAAUUUCUUCCAGUACGAAAGGACCAAAGAAAUAAGGUCAACUAUACAAUAGCACCUUUAAUAUAAUAUAUGAAUCUAUCUUAAUAUACUAUAUAUGUAAAUUAACUACCCAAGAUAAAGGUUGUU
This 1579-nucleotide ribosomal RNA is filed under the name Spalax microphthalmus (greater blind mole rat). Its description in RNAcentral is "partial 16S ribosomal RNA". It matches the Rfam family "Bacterial large subunit ribosomal RNA". Lineage: Eukaryota; Metazoa; Chordata; Mammalia; Rodentia; Spalacidae. The record is from RNAcentral.